This 492-nucleotide ribosomal RNA is filed under the name uncultured bacterium. Its description in RNAcentral is "partial 16S ribosomal RNA". It matches the Rfam family "Bacterial small subunit ribosomal RNA", at positions 29 to 507 of the family's 1533-position model. The record is from RNAcentral.
AGUGAACGCUGGCGGUAGGCCUAACACAUGCAAGUCGAACGGCAGCACAGUAAGAGCUUGCUCUUACGGGUGGCGAGUGGCGGACGGGUGAGGAAUACAUCGGAAUCUACUUUUUCGUGGGGGAUAACGUAGGGAAACUUACGCUAAUACCGCAUACGACCUACGGGUGAAAGCAGGGGAUCUUCGGACCUUGCGCGAUUGAAUGAGCCGAUGUCGGAUUAGCUAGUUGGCGGGGUAAAGGCCCACCAAGGCGACGAUCCGUAGCUGGUCUGAGAGGAUGAUCAGCCACACUGGAACUGAGACACGGUCCAGACUCCUACGGGAGGCAGCAGUGGGGAAUAUUGGACAAUGGGCGCAAGCCUGAUCCAGCCAUACCGCGUGGGUGAAGAAGGCCUUCGGGUUGUAGAGCCCUUUUGUUGGGAAAGAAAAGCAGCAGGUUAAUACCCCGCUGUUCUGACGGGACCCAAAGAAUAAGCACCGGCUAACUUCGUG